Molecule: long non-coding RNA, 4998 nt
Organism: Sparus aurata (gilthead seabream)
Lineage: Eukaryota; Metazoa; Chordata; Actinopteri; Spariformes; Sparidae
Source: Ensembl
GCAGAUUUCUGCUUUGGUGAAGGCAGUCUACUAGGUGGAGUAUAUCAACUUUUCACCUAAUGAAUUACCUACAUGUUGUUCCCUCAGUACACAUGUAACCUGCUAUUCUCACCUGAGUGAACCUGCAUUAAUUAGGUUUCUCGUGAUGCUGUGCGUCUGACGUCAUGACGCCUCCGCCUUCUCCAGAAUCUUCUACCUGCAGUUGAGCCGCCAAUUUCUGUCCGACAACGGAAGAAGGUAACAAAGAUACUGAAUCUUCUUUGAAGCUUUGGUGUGCUUGCGAUGGAGACGCCAUCCUUUCUUAGCCCAGCAGCUUCUCCUUUGAUGGUGAAUUUGCUAAUGGCCUCAAACAAGUCAGCCAGGAAGUGACAGAAACCCACAAAGCUUCCAUCUUCCAUCAUCUUCUUGACCUACCACCAUGGCUCGUUCGACACCUGCAGGACUGAAGAUUAAUACAGAGUUCCAGAGGCUCAUGGCUGAUCUUCUUGAGGAGAAGUUUGUGGCCCAGUCAGACAUGCACUCAAUUCAGCCGAUCAAAGUCAUCCGUGCUAAAGGAGGAGCAACACGCCAAAAGACUGUGGACACUUUGGACCAGGACUCUGGAGGAGAUGAUGCUCAGAGGGACUUGGAGCAGCUCACCAUGCCAGUGUUUGUCAUUUGGAAGGAGGGGGAAGGACUGCAGGAGCCACCUGAAGGCAUUGGCAUCGUCAUUGAUGGCGUGGAAGUGUUGCAUGAACUGACUUCGGUUGCCUCAGCUUGUGCCCUGCUCCUAGGUUUGAUUCAUGCACUCAACCUAGCUUACCCAAAAGCCCCACUUCACUUUUGAAGUGCUCCAUAAAAUAUUCAUGCAGCUUGAUCAGCGCAGAUGUCCCCCAAAGUCCAUAAUCUGUAUAGCAAACUUCAAAGCUUGCAGUAACGACACACUUCGAUGUAUGCCUCUGCAACAACAAAUGGCCUAGUACCAUAUUGUACUUUCACACAGAUUUUGUAACAGAUUUGGCAGAAGUUUUUUCCAGACAUAUUUCCUUCCAUUUGUAGGGAAAGGAUGCAUUUCAGUUUUGAUAUGUUCAGUUACUCAACAGUUGUGACAGUGUGUAACAGUGUGAUUUAAAACUCUAAAAGAAGUGUUCAUAUUUUUUCAUCUCCAUUGUUCAGUUACACUGUUCUGAUGCAUAAUAUUCAUUGGCUAUAGCUGGUUAAAGAGGUUUCUGUAUACUGUUGGCACUUUUUCAUAGUUGUGAUAACACUAUGUGUUGAGAUUGGUAGGCAUAUUUGUAUAAUACUUUGUACUAUUUUGCACUAUUUUGGACUUUGUUGACAAAAUAAGUGGUCCUACUAACAGUUACUUAUGCAUUUUGUGCAUAUGUGUUUUAAAAAGGACAAAUGUGUAAUGUGAUGGCCCAAAAGCUGUGUUGGUGGCCAUAAAGUUAAUGGUUCUUUACAUUUAUACAAUAAAGUAAAAAAAACAAAAAAACAAACCAAAAAACCAUAUUCAUAUUUUCAGCCAACUUAAAAUUGUAAUUUUAGUUGUAUUAAACUAAAAUUCCAUUUUAAGGUUACUUGACUUGCCUUGAUUUUAAAUUGGAUUAAUGCAAAACAUUGAUUUGAGAACAAUUAAAUUAGUAAGUACAUGUGACUUUGUCAGUUGUGUUAAUCUAUUAAUUUAAUUUCAAAUAACUUAAUUCUUUUAGGUGUUAGCAAUUGAAACAAUUCAAUUAACUUGAUCCAACUAUUUUCUUUUUUCAGUGUAAUAAUGUGUAAUAAUGUAGCGUUUUGUAUGUUAUACAUGAAUGAAUUAACUGGUCUGUGCUAUAUAAUUCCUCAAAUGAAAUGCAUUACUUACCUGCUGCAUCCUAUAAUGUUGAAUUCAAAGUACAGUCUAAUGAUUACAAAAUACAUACUUAUUUUUAAUAUUUUUUGGCAUCUGAAAAGUCAUGGUAAGAGUAAGAGUAAGAAUCUUCAUAUAAGCUGAAAGUUCUGGUUCAGCUUCCUGCCUCUGCUGUUGACUGCUUAAUCCUUAAAGGUAGUACGGCACUGCAGUAGCAUUACACUCACUGAGUGUGGUAGUAACAAGUGCACCAGAGUAAAACUUUAACCAGCACAACAAUGCUUUUCUGACACACAAGAUUUAGUGUGAACUGACCAUAACUAAAUUGACAAUGACCAAUGAAAGUCCUUAUAGUGCUAUCCAGUCAAAUAGUGCAUUCAAAUUCAAAUAAACCUCUUCAUAUUCAAAUAAAAAUAAAAGUUGUCAAAAAAAACCUAGUUGAUCAUUUAAGGAACCCCCUUUCUCCUGUAAAAGAUCCAGUUAUUCAAUUCAAAAUACUAAUCCAGCUGCAGGUACUGUCUUUUUCAUGUCUUCACUUUUGUCAAGAGGCAUUUGGCUCUUCAGAUCUUGAUAGCCUGAGAAUCACUGAGGGUAGCUAAUCACUGUAAUGUUCAGGGAUUUUAGUCUGCUUUAGACCAGUAAAAAGUUUUGUCUUCUAGCUUAAUCAUCCUUAUUAAGAAAGAAUUUUAAGCAAUGUAAGGGCACAAUUUGUGUGAGUCAAAACAAGGGGACAUUUCGUAAAGCAGGUGUUUGAGGAAUUCCUUGACAAUACCCUUCUAAUGUAUGACAACAGUGGAAACUGGCUCUAGUUAAGAGCCCCUUCUGGUCCGGUCUCACUUGGCAGAUUCAGCAUAUCCACCAUGUGUGAGAACAUCACAGCCAUUUUUAUCCUGGAAAGAAACACACAGCUAAUAAUAAUUAAAAUUUAGAUGAAAAUAGCAGCCACAUUAUGUCUCAACUGAAGUUUGAAAAUGAACUAAUGAAUUUUGCUAAAGGUCACAAGUUGAAUAGCUGAAGGGUAUAUUUAGUGAAUUGAAAUACAUUUUAUGAUAAUGUAAAACAAACACUCAUCAGUAGAUUUGGUUAAGUGUUAAUACUAUUUUAGAGACAAUGGAUGCUUGCAGGGCGUCUUUUUUCUUUUGAGGGCACAUCUGUCUCUGCUUUUGUGUUUGCACACAUGACCUCAUCUCCCUAGAGAGAUGAGGUAAUAUGUGAGCAAGAAAGCUCAUUCACAUUCAUCAAAGAAAAAACCUUUAACCACUGUAGCACUGGUUGAGCACUGAGGAGGUGUGUGUGUCUUUGGUUUUUAUAUAUAUAUAUAUAUAUAUAUAUAUAUAUAUAUAUAUAUAUAUAUAUAUAUAUAUAUAUAUAUAUAUAUAUAUAAAAUAAAGGCUUUUACAGUAUAUUCACUUUAAGUAUCAUUUAGAUAGAUUGGAGCAAAGUGAGACAGGAAACGUUCCCUUUCCUUUCACCACUUGACCCUGAGAGGAGACACUGCCUGAUGUCUGCUGCUCUGCUCCACUGGCAGACUAGCACACUGACACAAGGACGCACAAUCUGGAACAAAACACUAGAACAACCACCAGCUGGCACUAGUAGGCUAACACAUGUGCACCAGAUAUCAAGCCCCAAUGUAUUUCAUGUAUUAGUAUGUAUCUGGGGUCGAUAUCUUUUUUUAACUAAAGAGAAGAUUAUGGUUUUAAGAGUAAUAUAUUAUGUGUCUCCUUAACAACAACUCAUGCCUUCCCCUUUAUACCCCCAUAAGAAAAUAAUUAUUUAAUUAAUUUAUUGUAGUUGUAUAAUUUUAUAAACCAUGACAGAGAUAUUACUGUGAAGGGGAAUAUAUGUUGGCAUGAUUUGGAGAGCAAAAGCAUCAGGGCGUGUGGAUACAGCUGACUUUCUUUGUCUGCAGCAUUCACAGCUCCUGCAUCCCUCCCCCUCUGCUUCCUCAGCCCAGCUUCCUCUCAGCACCAUGGACAGUGACCUGCCUACUGGAGCUGCGUUGCCAUGGCGACGUGCUGUCUGUUCGCUGGAGCUCGCGGUGUGCUGUGAAGCUGCCUGUGAUUUAAUAUUCAGACACCGCCCCCACCAACACCACCACCACCACUUUACAGUGCAACAUCCAUUCCAUCAUCUGAGCAUUCUCUGUAAAAUACCACCGCUGCCUCUGCCUACUGAGGGCGAAUUGUUUUAAAAGACGUGGUGUUUUGAGAUGUGGUAGCAGUGAUGCAGCAUGGGGGAGACGAUGGAGACAGAAACGGGAGCUGUUGCAGAAUGCGGCAGCGCUCGUGAGCGCGCACGUAAACGUUUGGUCUAUUUCCAGAACCGAUACGCAGCCGCGGCAUGUUGGAGGGGUGCGAGGAAAUGUUUUUUUUAAAAAUGUAGGUCACUUUUUUUUCCGGUUGUUGUUAGUGCAAUCGUUAUUUACCCCCUUUCUAACAAAAUCCAUUAUUUCUUCCACGCUGUGCUGCAGAGUGGUGAGGCUUCUGCGUGACGCACAAGGCACGAUUACGUAUGAACAAUGCAGACUACAAGAGUGGGUUCAUUAGAGCUGCACUUGCAGGUUUAAUCCAUGAGAUGUCGCUGCUCACCGCUGCAGCAAGAGGAAGAUUGUGGGUGUGUGCUGAGUAGAUGACACAGCUGAAGCAGGCAGAAUGUGAAUAUCAGCAGCUCUUCUACAAUGUCCCAAACACAAUGACACAUAAAUUAACGCUUUAUGUUAGGGUUCGUAAUCUGUAAACGUAAUGAUAAUAUGAUACAGCUCUAGAAGUUUCCUGUAAACAGCUAUACAAUAAAGCCCAGUGUUCAACUGGUACACUUUCAAUGAAUUUAUCAGUGAAUUGCUUGGCUAGCCAUGUGGAGCAAAUAUGUGAUUGAUUUACGUUUGAGUUUUACUCUUCUUUCAGGGAAAUCUCCUUUACCUCAUACUACAAUUAACACAGCUCUUUCCAGGACAUGUCCUUAUUGUUAAUGUAAAGAUUAUCAUUAAAAAUCCUCAUGUGCAAUUUCUGAUUGUUGUCAUCUUUGAACACUUCGUUGCCAACAUUCUUUAAAAUGUCAAGAAAAAAUACAACGGAUGCUUAUUUUCUUAAUAAGUGAAGGUUAACAAUUAAAGGUUAUAUUGUUACUUUAAAUACACAUGUUUAUUGACUAGAUAUGCGAGUUGUAGG